AGGAUGAACGCUAGCGACAGGCUUAACACAUGCAAGUCGAGGGGCAGCAUAAAAGUAGCAAUACUUGGUGGCGACCGGCGCACGGGUGAGUAACGCGUAUGCAACCUACCUAUCAGAGGGGAAUAACCCGGCGAAAGUCGGACUAAUACCGCAUAAAACAGGGGCACCGCAUGGUGAUAUUUGUUAAAGAAAUUCGCUGAUAGAUGGGCAUGCGUUCCAUUAGGUAGUUGGUGAGGUAACGGCUCACCAAGCCGACGAUGGAUAGGGGAACUGAGAGGUUGGUCCCCCACACUGGUACUGAGACACGGACCAGACUCCUACGGGAGGCAGCAGUGAGGAAUAUUGGUCAAUGGGCGGGAGCCUGAACCAGCCAAGUCGCGUGAAGGAAGAAGGAUCUAUGGUUCGUAAACUUCUUUUGCAGGGGAAUAAAGUGCAGGACGUGUCCUGUUUUGUAUGUACCCUGAGAAUAAGGAUCGGCUAACUCCGUGCCAGCAGCCGC
RNAcentral lists this ribosomal RNA (499 nucleotides) under uncultured bacterium. Its description in RNAcentral is "bacterial SSU rRNA". It matches the Rfam family "Bacterial small subunit ribosomal RNA", at positions 26 to 518 of the family's 1533-position model. The record is from RNAcentral.